CCAUGCCUACGGGGCGCAGCAGUAGGGAAUAUUGCUCAAUGGGGGGAACCCUGAUGCAGCGACGCCGCGUGGGCGAUGGAGUACUUCGGUAUGUAAAGCCCUCUCAGCAGGGAAGAAAAUGACGGUACCUGACUAAGAAGCCCCGGCUAAAUACGUGCCAGCAGCCGCGGUAAUACGUAUGGGGCAAGCGUUAUCCGGAUUUACUGGGUGUAAAGGGAGCGUAGGCGGCCUGGCAAGCCUGAUGUGAAAUACCGGGGCCCAACCCCGGGGCUGCAUUGGGAACUGCCAGGCUGGAGUGCCGGAGG
This 305-nucleotide ribosomal RNA is filed under the name uncultured bacterium. RNAcentral's name for it is "bacterial SSU rRNA". It matches the Rfam family "Bacterial small subunit ribosomal RNA", at positions 333 to 655 of the family's 1533-position model. The record is from RNAcentral.